RNAcentral lists this ribosomal RNA (1389 nucleotides) under Triticum aestivum (bread wheat). RNAcentral describes it as "partial small subunit ribosomal RNA". The record is from RNAcentral. Lineage: Eukaryota; Viridiplantae; Streptophyta; Magnoliopsida; Poales; Poaceae.
AUGGAUGCAUCCAUGGCGCCAACGGAGGGUGACAAGCAGCCCGUGUUGCGCAUCCUCUUCUUCCCGUUCCUCCUCCCCGGCCACCUCAUCCCGAUGGCCGACAUGGCCGCGCUCUUCGCCGCCCGUGGCGUUAGGUGCACCAUCCUCACCACACCCUUGCAAGCUUCGACCAUCCGCUCCAUCGUCGACCGUGCCAACACUUCCCUGGGGUUUCUUCGGACGGUGGAGCUGCUCCGGGAGCCCUUCCGCCGCUUCCUAUCCGACCACCACGCCGAGGUCGACGCCGUCGUCUCCGACGGCCUAUUCCACUGGUCCGUGGAUGACGCCGCAGAGCAUGGAAUCCCGCGCAUCACGUUCCUCGGCACCAGCAUGUUCGCCUGUUCCUGCACCGAAGCCAUGCUCCGCAGCAACCCGUUUGAGGCGUGCUCCGACGACCCAGCCACCGUCGUCUCUCUGCCGGGGCUGCCGCACCGGGUGGUGGAGCUGCGGGAGCAGAUGAUGGACCCUGUGAAGCGGCCACAUGAGUGGGCAUUGUUCCAGCUCAUCCACGCCGCGGACCGGCGGAGCUAUGGAGAGCUCUUCAACAGCUUCCACGAGCUGGAGCCAGCCUACGCCGAGCACUACCGCGCCACACUCCAUCGCCGAGCUUGGCUUGUCGGCCCGGUUGCGCUCGCAAGCGGCAGCGGUAAGGACGUGACGUCAAGAGGCGCCGUUGCGGGUGCGCUCUCACCGGAGUCCAUCGGGUGCCUGCGCUGGCUCGACGAGAAGCCGGCCAGCUCAGUGUUGUACGUCUCCUUCGGCACUACGACAAUCUUCUCGCCAGAGCAGAUGCGGGAGCUCGCACGCGGCCUUGACCUCUCGGGCAAAAAUUUUGUGUGGGUCAUCGCCAAUGGAAGUGCAUCAACGGAUCUGUGUAUGCCACACGGGUUCCCGAUGGCGCACCGCGGGUACAUCGUCCGGGGCUGGGCGCCGCAGGUGCUCAUCUUGAACCACCCUGCCGUUGGUGGUUACAUGACGCACUGCGGGUGGAACUCCACGCUGGAGGCUGUGAGCGCCGGCGUGCCGAUGGUGACGUGGCCGCGGUACGCCGACCAGUUUCACAACGAGAAGCUCGUCGUGGAGGUGCUUGAGGUGGGCGUCGGCGUCGGUGCCGAGGACUACGCAACAUGGAUUGAGACCCACCGGGUUAUCACCGGCCAGGUGAUCGCCGAAUCCAUCCGGAAAGUGAUGAAGGAGGGCGACGGCGUCACGAUACGAAAGAAAGCUGAUGAGCUCCGCGACAAGGCGAGGGCCGCGGUGGAGAAGGGUGGGUCGUCGUACGACGAUGUUGGGCAGCUCAUGGAGGAAUUGAUCGCCCGCCGGUGCUGUAGACGUACGGCGGGUGAAUAA